UCCAACAGAAAAGUGAUCCAUGUACCGAUCUUAAAUGGAUGGAUCACUAUCCUCUAUGACGAUCCUACGAUCGAAAAUAUUUAAAAAUUAACCACUAAUGAUGUAUGUCUCAAAUUCUUAACAUCUUAAGAAUAUAUAAAAUUAUUUUUAUUAAUUUUUAGGAUAAAUCAUGGACACAUACAAUAUGAUUGGUUAUAAAGACGAUCCGUCAAG
This 213-nucleotide long non-coding RNA is filed under the name Elaeis guineensis (African oil palm). RNAcentral's name for it is "long non-coding RNA (EGUI_LNC033687)". Lineage: Eukaryota; Viridiplantae; Streptophyta; Magnoliopsida; Arecales; Arecaceae. The record is from RNAcentral.